CUUUUAAAGGAUAGUAGUUAUCCAUUGGUCUUAGGAACCAAAAACGU
Molecule: transfer RNA, 47 nt
Filed under: Sapajus apella (tufted capuchin)
Lineage: Eukaryota; Metazoa; Chordata; Mammalia; Primates; Cebidae
Description: partial tRNA-Leu
Source: RNAcentral